GAUGAAGAACGUAGCGAAAUGCGAUAAGUAAUGUGAAUUGCAGAAUCCCGUGAACCAUCGAGUCUUUGAACGCAAGUUGCGCCUCAAGCCAUUAGGUUGAGGGCACGUCUGCCUGGGCGUCACAUAUCGUUGCCUGAUGCCAGUUUCCUCGUGAUGGGUGACUGUGCAGGGCGAAUGAUGGCUUCCCGUGAGCAUUGUUGCCUCAUGGUUGGUUGAAAAUUGAGUCCUUGGUAGGGAGCGCCGUGAUAGAUGGUGAUUGAGUGACGAACGAGACCCAAUCAUGUGAGACCCCUACCGAAUUUGGCCUUCAUGACCCACAUGCGUCUUUGGAACGCUCAUGACGAGACCUCAGGUCAGGCGGGGCUACCCGCUGAGUUUAAGCAUAUCAAUAAGCGGAGGA
RNAcentral lists this unclassified non-coding RNA (400 nucleotides) under soil metagenome. RNAcentral describes it as "partial contains 5.8S ribosomal RNA, internal transcribed spacer 2, and large subunit ribosomal RNA". The stretch from base 1 to 122 matches the Rfam family "5.8S ribosomal RNA", at positions 35 to 154 of the family's 154-position model. The record is from RNAcentral.